Poecilia latipinna (sailfin molly) is the source of this 355-nucleotide long non-coding RNA. RefSeq lists it as uncharacterized. Lineage: Eukaryota; Metazoa; Chordata; Actinopteri; Cyprinodontiformes; Poeciliidae. The record is from RefSeq and is a predicted model, not a curated record. The transcript has 2 exons.
AGAUCCAUCAGUGGGAGCUGCGAACCCAUUCACUUUGACCAUGACACCGAUGAGUUGUUUUGAUGUAGAAAGAAGGAGCGAAAACCAACUCUGCUGUUCCCAUUCGCAUCCAAAAUGGCUGUGAUCUGACACCAUGUGAAAGAGAGACUUGGCUUCUCUCAGAGGGAUCCUGUUGCUGAGGUAGAAAAUAAAAUAACCUUCAUUCAGUCUGAGCACCAGAAAGACGUAUCAUCGUCGUCAACACGGCAACAGAAGAGGUACAAGUUGAGAAAGUGGGAUAAUAACAUUCAUACUUGUGGUAUAUAAAAACUUUUUUUUUUCAUGAUCGAUUAUCAAAUCUUUGUCUGUGGUAAAA